GUCCAAUCUGAAUUCCAGACAUUUUGAUGCCGUUAUAACAAGUCUUUGAAUUCCUGCCAUACCUCCUAUUUCCUCUCUUGCUGUAGGAAAAAAACAGCAGUGUAACUGAAGUACACAACCAUGAAUUAAGAGACAUGACAUCUCUUUCCAGACCAACCCCAUGUCGACAGGUCCUCCACUGAGCCAACGAUGGAGAAACUGCACAAUGAGACCAGAUUGGCCUUCCAUUACUCUUCUAAGUGAGUGUGGCGAUAAAAUGCCAACAGUGCAAUUACAGAGUUGAAGGUCUGCUCUUUAUUUAAUCACUACAAAGCAAGGAGAAUGCCUUCUUGUACUGCCUCACCAUGAGCUUGUUACGGAGGGGUCUGCUGGGAGGAUUUUAAUCAGAGGACUCAAAGUAUACUUCAUUAUUCCGAGACUGAAAAGAACUAGUAAGAAGAUGACGUUUGGCAGAGUGGGCUCUAGUCAACAGGCAAGAUGCCAAAUGAAGACUACAGAGAAGGAAAACUGGUAGGAUAACCCAACUCUGCUUCUUGUACUACUCUGCUACCUGUGCACUACUUGAUCACGUGCCAUCCCCGUUCAUUCUGGUAGCAGACGUGGUCAGUGGGACUGUGGAUAACAAAUGGGUAAAGAAGCUUAUUUCUCUAAAGCACAUUGUGACAACUAAUUAACUCAAGUUAGUUAAUGCCUCACCUGACAUACAUCUUCUCUUGUACCAUUUAAGCAAUAAGGUUGUGGGAAUGCUGUAUUACACUGGCUUUGAGAAAUAGGAAAAAAAUCUAUUUUACGUAACAAUCUAAUUACAAGAGGUUCCAACCUAGCAAGAAGCCCUUGUUCAAACAUUACCUGUUGCAUAUGAAGUUGUGCAUAGAUAUCACAAUUCACACCAAUAGAACAUAACUCUACUAAGAACGUGACUUCAGAAUAUUAUGGCUUGAAAUGCAAAUCACUAACCAAGGUCUCAUCUGCAAACAUAACCCUUAAGAGCUGGCAGAAAGUGUUCCUCUCCUUUGGAAGUAAUGGCUAUUAUUACACACUGGUAUUCGAGAUCUUCUAUGAAACAUACAUUUAAACAGCCUAUAGUUGUGUAAAUUUAUUGCCUUAGAAAUAUAUAAGAUAUGCUGAUAUGGGGUAACACUGUAAUCCAUCCACCUUCUCCAUUGUUUUUAAAUAAUCAGAAACACAUAUUGAACAAAACCCUGUCAGCUGUAGCAGCCAGUGACCUUUGCUGGAACCAAAACUGCAGGCCAAAGGCAUUCUGCACACCCUUAGGACAUCAUCAGUGCUGCAUCACCAAGAGGAAAGAGAGUCCGAGCGCUGGGUGGCUCUAAACCAAUACAGAUAGCACAAAAGGAUACAAGUUGCCAUUUCCUUGGGUAAAAAUAGCAAGGGCAUGCAGCACAUUACUGUUUUAUAGUCUGGGCAAUGGGUUGCUUUCCCAAAGGACUCUGUCUCCACACAUAACGUGACACAAUCUGAUAUAAGGCCACAUACUCAGUCUUAAAAGAAGGCAGCACAACAAUGCUAGGAUUGUAACCUGCUCACUCUACAAAGUCUUCUUCUGUUCAAUCGCAAUGGAGCUGUGCAGCUGAUUUGAUCAGAAAAUCUUAUACUUACUUUGAAGGCAGGGAGAGGAUUUCUCUAAAGCGUAAUGUUUUUUCUUCAGUCUAGUUCUGACUUACAAGUCAUUAAAAAUUACCUUGACUCAAAGCAGGAGUUUUUCCAAUGUUUUUUGA
This is a non-coding RNA of Coturnix japonica (Japanese quail), 1739 nucleotides long. The record is from RefSeq and is a predicted model, not a curated record. Lineage: Eukaryota; Metazoa; Chordata; Aves; Galliformes; Phasianidae.